GUCAUUUCAGAUCUUGUAUGCAAAAAAUGCAUAAAGUUUAGGAUGAAUUCUAUCCUGUGCCCAUGAAACGAUAACCAUGCAAGAGAGAAAAAAUUAUUAUUGAAAUAAAAUUUUUUAAAAGAAUAUUUUUAGCACUCAGCUUUUAGAGCAGUAGUUCACCUUGUGCCUUCUUGCUAGAGGUGUCAAAAUGGGCUUGGCCCACAGGACCGGCCUGACCCAAUCCUGAAAAUGGGGUGGGCUGGGCUGCCAUAUUACUAGCCCAAAUAACAAUCGAACCUUUUGGCCCAACCCACCUCAGCCCACCUUAUGCCUUCUUGCUAGAGGUGUCAAAAUAGGCUUGGCCCACAGGGCCGGCCCAACCCAACCCUGAAAAUGAGGUGGGCUGGGCUGCCAUAUUACUAGCCCAAAUAACAAUCAGGCC
RNAcentral lists this long non-coding RNA (421 nucleotides) under Elaeis guineensis (African oil palm). RNAcentral's name for it is "long non-coding RNA (EGUI_LNC037835)". Lineage: Eukaryota; Viridiplantae; Streptophyta; Magnoliopsida; Arecales; Arecaceae. The record is from RNAcentral.